RNAcentral lists this ribosomal RNA (474 nucleotides) under uncultured bacterium. RNAcentral describes it as "bacterial SSU rRNA". It matches the Rfam family "Bacterial small subunit ribosomal RNA", at positions 335 to 799 of the family's 1533-position model. The record is from RNAcentral.
ACUCCUACGGGAGGCAGCAGUGGGGAAUAUUGCACAAUGGGCGCAAGCCUGAUGCAGCCAUGCCGCGUGUAUGAAGAAGGCCUUCGGGUUGUAAAGUACUUUCAGCAGUGAGGAAGGUGGGUAUGUUAAUAGCAUACUCAUUUGACGUUAGCUGCAGAAGAAGCACCGGCUAACUCCGUGCCAGCAGCCGCGGUAAUACGGAGGGUGCGAGCGUUAAUCGGAAUUACUGGGCGUAAAAGCGCAUGCAGGUGGUUUGUUAAGUCAGAUGUGAAAGCCCGGGGCUCAACCUCGGAAUUGCAUUUGAAACUGGCAAACUAGAGUACUGUAGAGGGGGGUAGAAUUUCAGGUAGCGGUGAAAAUGCGUAAGAGAUCUGAAGGAAUACCGGUGGCGAAGGCGGCCCCUGGACAGAUACUGACACUCAGAUGCGAAAGCGUGGGGAAGCAAACAGGAUUAGAUACCCUGGUAAGGCGUAG